This 422-nucleotide ribosomal RNA is filed under the name Fusobacteriota bacterium. RNAcentral's name for it is "Fusobacteria bacterium partial 16S ribosomal RNA". It matches the Rfam family "Bacterial small subunit ribosomal RNA", at positions 355 to 776 of the family's 1533-position model. Lineage: Bacteria; Fusobacteriati; Fusobacteriota. The record is from RNAcentral.
UGGGGGAUUUUGCACAAUGGGCGCAAGCCUGAUGCAGCGACGCCGCGUGAGGGAUGAAGGCCUUCGGGUUGUAAACCUCUUUCGUUGGGUUGAAAGGCCAUGCCUUGGGUGUGGUUGAUUUGAACUGGUAAAGAAGUACCGGCUAACUACGUGCCAGCAGCCGCGGUAAUACGUAGGGUACUAGCGUUGUCCGGAUUUAUUGGGCGUAACGGGCUUGUAGGUGGUUUGUCGCGUCUGUCGUGAAAUCCUGUGGCUUAACCAUGGGCUUGCGGUGGGUACGGGCAGGCUGGAGUCCGGUAGGGGAGACUGGAAUUCCUGUUGUAGCGGUGGAAGGCGCAGCUAUCAGGAGGAACACCGGUGUCGAAGGCGGGUCUCUGGGCCGUUACUGACACUGAGGAGCGAAAGCGUGGGGAGCGAACAGG